This is a long non-coding RNA of Cataglyphis hispanica, 268 nucleotides long. RefSeq lists it as uncharacterized. The record is from RefSeq and is a predicted model, not a curated record. The transcript is spliced from 3 exons. Lineage: Eukaryota; Metazoa; Arthropoda; Insecta; Hymenoptera; Formicidae.
AACAUCGUAUUUCACUUGCGAUGUGGAAGUACGUGAAAAUAUGUUGCAAUUUUUAUUGCAAAUAAUGCAAGCGCCACUCAGGUUUUGCGGACUUAGACUUUUUCGGUUUGGUUAUAAAUUCCUUUAUGGAUACUUUGAAUCCAUUCUGACUCUUGCAAUUAUAUUAAUACAAGCGGAGAAAUUUAAGAAAGUAUUGAAAGAUUGUGGGUGAUAUAAUAAAUCUACAAAAAAAAAUUUAUCGAUAAAUAGCAUUGAUUUAACAAUCAAU